CAGCAGCCACGGGAAUACGAAGGGGGCUAGCGUUGUUCGGAUUUACUGGGCGUAAAGGGCGCGUAGGCGGACUGAUAAGUCAGGGGUGAAAUCCCAAGGCUCAACCUUGGAACUGCCUUUGAUACUGUUUGUCUUGAGUUCGAGAGAGGUAAGUGGAACUGCGAGUGUAGAGGUGAAAUUCGUAGAUAUUCGCAAGAACACCAGUGGCGAAGGCGGCUUACUGGCUCGAAACUGACGCUGAGGCGCGAAAGCGUGGGGAGCAAACAGGAUUAGAUACCCCCGUAGUCCCUGUCUCUUAUAC
Molecule: ribosomal RNA, 301 nt
Filed under: uncultured bacterium
Lineage: Bacteria
Description: partial 16S ribosomal RNA
Rfam family: Bacterial small subunit ribosomal RNA
Source: RNAcentral